This 259-nucleotide long non-coding RNA is filed under the name Brassica rapa (field mustard). Its description in RNAcentral is "long non-coding RNA (BRAP_LNC004630)". The record is from RNAcentral. Lineage: Eukaryota; Viridiplantae; Streptophyta; Magnoliopsida; Brassicales; Brassicaceae.
AAAAGGUUGGCUGAUAUAAGAGGAGAGGUUCAUCACCAAAACUCCUAUAAACUAUUUUGUGCCUUAUUCUAAAGUACCUUGGGGUUUACAAAUACAGAGCCACUGAAGCCCAUAUAUCAUGUUGAGCUUUGAACAAGAACAUAGAGAAAACAGAUUGGGCCUCUUCUGAAAGCUAAUAUUAUAGCACAGGCUCAGCGUUUGUGUUAUGAUAUGAAGUUAGGAAACACAGGUUUGUAUUGUAACUCAAUUUUGUUGUGAG